GUCAACGACCAUACCAUGUUGAACACACCGGUUCUCAUCCGAUCACCGAAGUUAAACAACAUUGGACAUGGCUGGAGUACUAGGGUGAGUGACCACUUGGGAAAACCAUGUGUCGUUGGCA
This 121-nucleotide ribosomal RNA is filed under the name Anopheles funestus (African malaria mosquito). The record is from RNAcentral. Lineage: Eukaryota; Metazoa; Arthropoda; Insecta; Diptera; Culicidae.